GGUACCUGGUGAAAUGGCGACACCGGCGAAUUGAAAAUCCCCGUGUCGGCGGUUCGAUUCCGUCCCUGGGCACCACCA
RNAcentral lists this transfer RNA (78 nucleotides) under Pseudomonas sp. ENNP23. Its description in RNAcentral is "tRNA-OTHER". Lineage: Bacteria; Pseudomonadati; Pseudomonadota; Gammaproteobacteria; Pseudomonadales; Pseudomonadaceae. The record is from RNAcentral.